GAGGACACUGGCUAAGACAGGUUUCAUACCAUAACUUGCCCCUAUUACCAAACCUCUCCUGCAGCUGGGCAGGGAAAAGAGUUACCAUCUGACCCAGCAAUGGCACUCUUGGGUGUCCGCCCAAGGGAAAUGAAAGCAAUCCAUGCAAACACCUGGACACGAGCACUCAUCACAGAACUGCACUGACAGCAGACCCUGGGAGGACUGACGCCAGGUGUGCACCACUGACGCGUGGACAGACAAGUCAUGAUAUUGCCACACCCUGGAAAGACUGGGUCACACAAGGCAGGGAAAUACUGACCAGAGCUAUGGCACUGAUGAACCCUGAGACCACCACACCACAUGGAAGGAGCCUCCAUGAAGCCCACUUACAGAAACGUAGAGCACAGCCACAGAAACAGGCAGUCACGACUUCCAGGGUGCAGGAAGGAAUGGUGGAUGAAGGCUAGCAAACCUGGGCUUCCUAUAAGAAGUGAUGAAACUGUUCUAAGCUCAGAUGAAGACAUAGGUUGCAUGACCCUGUGCGUACAUAACAGGCCAAGGAACUGAAGACUUUAAAAAUAUCAAUGUUACAGUUCGUGAAUUACGUUCAAGAAAACAUCUGUCAUAACAUAAUCUAAUACCCAUGAGAACAAUAAUGUGGCAUCUACAGUAAACUUUUUAAAUAAAAGAACACACAUGGGAAAGUUUAGAUGGACUGCUCUGGGGAAGGAGGAGGACAGAGGGAGACUGUGCCGUACCAUAGGCACCUCUGAGUCAGAACUCUGCACCCGUGUUUAGGAGAUGUGAAGCAAGAAGCACUGACUCAGGUGCCUCCCUGAAGCCCACUGCCCUCUCUCUACUCUUCCUCAGGGGCAUGCUGAGGAUGGAAGCCCUGCUCUGUAUCAUGUUCCAGGCCCCAAACAACACAGCACUGGGCACUGAGCCACCGUGCAGGUUAAUGGGGCUCUGAGAAAAAGACAGGGGCACAGUCAGGCAAGUUCCAGCUGCAGGUGUCUAUUAAGAACCUGGGGACUGUCUGUAAACCCAGGCACAUAGACAGAUACCCCUCUUCAC
RNAcentral lists this long non-coding RNA (1056 nucleotides) under Marmota monax (woodchuck). The record is from RNAcentral. Lineage: Eukaryota; Metazoa; Chordata; Mammalia; Rodentia; Sciuridae.